Molecule: ribosomal RNA, 440 nt
Filed under: uncultured bacterium
Lineage: Bacteria
Description: partial 16S ribosomal RNA
Rfam family: Bacterial small subunit ribosomal RNA
Source: RNAcentral
CCUACGGGGUGCAGCAGUGGGGGAUAUUGCACAAUGGGGGGAACCCUGAUGCAGCGACGCCGCGUGGGUGAAGGAGCGUUUCGGCGCGUAAAGCCCUAUCGGCAGGGAAGAAGAUGACGGUACCUGGCCAAGAAGCCCCGGCUAACUACGUGCCAGCAGCCACGGUAAUACGUAGGGGGCAAGCGUUAUCCGGAUUUACUGGGUGUAAAGGGGGCGCAGACGGCAAUGCAAGCCUGGAGUGAAAGCCCGGGGCCCAACCCCGGGACUGCUCUUGGAACUGCAUGGCUGGAGUACAGGAGGGGCAGGCGGAAUUCCUAGUGUAGCGGUGAAAUGCGUAGAUAUUAGGAGGAACACCGGUGGCGAAGGCGGCCUGCUGGACUGUGACUGACGUUGAGGCCCGAAGGCGUGGGGAGCAAACAGGAUUAGAUACCCGAGUAGUC